AAGUGGUGUUCCAACGUGUGGAGAUCUUUGGACGACUUCCUCACAAUGGAAAGAUCGUGGUGCAGCAGAGGCUCAUCUAAAAGUUGCAGGACACCGGCCCUUAAGGACUGGAUGGUGACGCCCCUGCUUUACAGGAUUUAACAGGAAUUUCUCCACCAAAUACAAGGAUGUCAUCUCUAAAAGUCUUCUGAUCCAACCAGGAUCUCCUGCUAUCUACCAGCUAAAGCUAAAA
Long non-coding RNA from Poeciliopsis prolifica (blackstripe livebearer), 232 nucleotides. RefSeq lists it as uncharacterized. NCBI's taxonomy places the organism in Eukaryota, Metazoa, Chordata, Actinopteri, Cyprinodontiformes, Poeciliidae. The transcript is spliced from 3 exons. The record is from RefSeq and is a predicted model, not a curated record.